UACGUAGGGUCCGAGCGUUGUCCGGAUUUACUGGGCGUAAAGAGCGCGCAGGCGGUCGUUCAAGUCGAGUGUGAAAGCCCCCGGCUCAACUGGGGAGGGUCACUCGAUACUGAUCGACUCGAAGGCAGAAGAGGGAAGCGGAAUUCCCGGUGUAGUGGUGAAAUGCGUAGAUAUCGGGAGGAACACCAGUGGCGAAGGCGGCUUUCUGGUCUGCUCUUGACGCUGAGGCGCGAAAGCUAGGGUAGCAAACGGG
This 253-nucleotide ribosomal RNA is filed under the name uncultured bacterium. RNAcentral describes it as "partial 16S ribosomal RNA". It matches the Rfam family "Bacterial small subunit ribosomal RNA", at positions 524 to 776 of the family's 1533-position model. The record is from RNAcentral.